CAGGACAUCCUACACCAUAUACACUCCCUCUUGCUGGUGCGAGACGCUGCGCGUGUUGCUUGCGUGUCCCGUGGGUUUCUACGUUCCUGGAGAUGCUAUACAAAACUCAUACUCAACGAUGAUACACUCGAGUUGACUGACAAGAAAUUUGAGAACAGAGAACCAUAUAUCAUCAACAAAGUUGACCAGAUUCUUGAAAACCAUCACAGUAAUGGGGUUAAGGUGGAGACGCUUAAACUUGACCUUGGCUCUUGCAGAAACAUCAAAGGCUCCUGCGUGGACAGGUGGCUCCAAAUCAUCCUGAAGUCUGGGAUCAAAGAACUUGACUUGUGUAUGCCUAUGUUCAUGAAGGAAAAGUAUAGCUUCCCGUGUUCGGUUUUCUCAGACGAGGAAGCUGCAACUUCAAUCCAGACUCUUCGCCCCUUCGAUUGCCAUCUUCAUCCCACGUUGACACUUAGCCACUUGCAAAGAUUGACACGUUUACAAUUGUCUUCUGUCCGCAUUACCGAUGAAGAAUUAGGGCUCUUGCUCUCGAGAACUUCCGCCCUGGAGCGGCUGGACCUCUUCUCUUGCAGUGGGAUAAUUCGCUUGCGAAUACCUUGUACGCUUCCACAACUCAAUUCCUUGUGUAUUAUCGAAUGCCAAACGAUGCUCCAGGUGGUAGAGAUCGAUGCUCCAAAUCUCUUCUCCUUCCGUUGCGGCAGUAUCCAUUAUGAUCGGACCCAGAUAGAAAUCUCCACC
RNAcentral lists this ribosomal RNA (741 nucleotides) under Triticum aestivum (bread wheat). RNAcentral's name for it is "partial small subunit ribosomal RNA". The record is from RNAcentral. Lineage: Eukaryota; Viridiplantae; Streptophyta; Magnoliopsida; Poales; Poaceae.